GAAGAGGCAAGUAGUUGAAACAAGCUUAGAGAUCUUGUUCAAAUACUCAUGAGAAAACAAACAAGUACAGUAGAAAGUUCAAAGUAAACAGAGUGAAGAAACAGACUCGAAGCAUAAUGAGAGUAGAGGAAACAGUAGAAGAAAACAUGCAUUAUAUAGGUCUUUUAGAAGAAAUAUAAAAUAGAUUAAAGAAGAAGAGAAAACAGUGAAAACUUAAUCACAUGGUAGAAUGACACAUAGGCGAAGCAUAUCAGAAAAAUAGCAGAACAUAGUGAGAAACAAUGUGAGAACAAAGCAUAAAAAACACAGUCGAAGAAAGAAUGGAACACGUUAGAAGAACAUGCGUGGUAAAGGGAAAACAUAAGAACACAGUUGAAGAAUAUGCGUGGUAAGAAAGAAAACAUAAGAAUAUAGUACGGACAAAUACACACAAAGGAAAGGAAAAGAAAAGUCAGAGAAACAUUUUGAAGUUUUCAGAAAACCCUAAAUGGGGAAGAAGUAACUUAUGAAAGUAAUUUUUGAAAGAAAAGUUGGGAAAAUCGUUCAAAAACUCAAAUAGAUCAUGGAUAAGCAACAAAUCUGAGAAAAUCAGAGAAAACCUCGAAUAGUUAGGGUUUCCAAAUAACCCUAGAGUGAGAAAGGCUUGGAAAAGGUACAAUCUAAGUCGGAUAAGGAGAGAAACAUGCCCAGAAGACCAAGAGCCACCAGAGCAAGGCUGGAGAUGAUCGGAAUCCUAGAAUCGGUGAAGGUCUGAGUGAAGAACCUCAAAUUCUGGCCUCGAACCUUCGAGCAUCAGGCAUGUAUGAGCCAUAGGAGGUGAGUAUAAGUUGUCCAUGGCCUGAGAAGCCAUGGACUCCGGGGAGUUUAAGGGUUGAGAUGGUAGAAGGCGGCUAGGUUUUGAGGGUGAGUUGAGAGAGAACUGAGAGAGGAGGGAUUCAGAGGAAAC
This 946-nucleotide long non-coding RNA is filed under the name Nicotiana benthamiana. RNAcentral describes it as "long non-coding RNA (NBEN_LNC034678)". The record is from RNAcentral. Lineage: Eukaryota; Viridiplantae; Streptophyta; Magnoliopsida; Solanales; Solanaceae.